UCUGAGCUGGGUUUGGGGAGGCUUUUCUUUUUCCCUUCGGGAUUCUACUGCCAGGUGUUCCCCAGGGGUCCUGGGAAGCCCAGGGUGUGGAAUUCCUUGGUGGGUGGGUAGGUCGAGCUGCUUCGGCUGAGCUAGAUGAAGGUCUCUUGAUGUAUCUACCUGGUGUCCCCACCCACACAAGGGAGAGCAGAGGCCACAAAGGUUAAAGCCGCACCUCCUACGCAGGCCACGGGCAUUUACGGAUGCCCUUUACCGACAGUCCAGGUUCUGGGCUUGGGGGCUGCCGCGGUGCGCAGGACAGUCACGCUCCCGCCCUCGUGAAGGGGAGCGCCCGAGGGAGACAUAGGUACUGAUGAGAUCGUGACACAAGCAGAGACCAACCAUCCUCAACCACGUGAAGGAAGCGCAGGCGAGGGCAGACAGCAGGGCCAGGGGUCUUCACAGAAGUGAUCAAGCUAACGUGAGGUCAUGAGGGUGGUCGCUCAUCCAAUGCGGCUGAUGGCCUUAUGAAAAGGGGACAUUUGGACACGUGGACAGAUAUGACACAGGGAGGAUGCCAUGUGAAGAGAACGGCAGAGAUCAGAGGGAUGCGUCUGUAGGCCAAGGAAUCAAAGUUCGCCAGCAAAUCACCCAAAACUGGGGCAGAGGCCUGGAACAGAAGGAACCAACCCUGCCGACACCUUAAUCUCAGACUUCCAGCUUCCAGAACUUGAGACCAUAAAUUUCUGUGGUUUAAGUCUCCCAGUCUGUGGUCCUUUAUAACAUCAGCCCUAGCAAAGUAAUACUGUGUUGCAGGCAGAGGAAAUUCCAAGUGCAAAAGCCCUAAGGUAAGGGGGGGAGAGGCAGAUUUGAGAAAGAAGUGUACCCCUGGCUGGAAUGCAGAGUCAAACUUUCCUUUAUCUCUAAUGAGAGGGAAGUGGAUCAGUGUGGGUGCCUCCGGCGACGAUAGGAACAGCAAUAAAAAUAACAACCACCUUGAAGAUGUAUAGAGUGUAGGAGAUAAGCCUGGGAAGGCAGGAAGUGACUGAGCUAUGCAGAGGUGUCCUUGUAAGAAUGACAACUGGAGGCUUUAACCCUGAGAGAGGGAGAAAGCCAUCAGAAAUCACAAGGCAGGUGACCUGGCACCUAGUUGGAGCUGUGUGAGCUUGGGCAAAUUGCUUUCUGUCUCUGUGCCUUAGUUCUGUGAUCUCUUACCUGGAACACUCCAUGACCAUGUGACAAGCACUGUACUUAAGGCUGCCAUCCUGUGUGUGACAGGCAGGGUGACGGGGAAGAGAGAAGAAUGAAAAGAGUAUCCGGUAUCAUUUUUGUUCUUAUGGAGCUUAUUACCUACUUGGGGAAAUUACAUGCAUUU
Molecule: long non-coding RNA, 1354 nt
Organism: Hippopotamus amphibius kiboko
Lineage: Eukaryota; Metazoa; Chordata; Mammalia; Artiodactyla; Hippopotamidae
Exons: 3
Source: RefSeq, a predicted model, not a curated record